UCCAGACUCCUACGGGAGGCAGCAGUGGGGGAUAUUGCACAAUGGGGGGAACCCUGAUGCAGCGACGCCGCGUGGGUGAAGGAGCGUUUCGGCGCGUAAAGCCCUAUCGGCAGGGAAGAAGGAGGACGGUACCUGACUAAGAAGCCCCGGCUAACUACGUGCCAGCAGCCGCGGUAAUACGUAGGGGGCAAGCGUUAUCCGGAUUUACUGGGUGUAAAGGGGGCGCAGACGGCAGCGCAAGCCAGGAGUGAAAGCCCGGGGCCCAACCCCGGGACUGCUCUUGGAACUGCGCGGCUGGAGUGCAGGAGGGGCAGGCGGAAUUCCUGGUGUAGCGGUGAAAUGCGUAGAUAUCAGGAAGAACUCCGAUUGCGAAGGCAGCCUACUAAACUGCCACUGACAUUGAUGCUCGAAAGUGUGGGUAUCAAACAGGAUUAGAUACCCGAGUA
RNAcentral lists this ribosomal RNA (446 nucleotides) under uncultured bacterium. RNAcentral's name for it is "partial 16S ribosomal RNA". It matches the Rfam family "Bacterial small subunit ribosomal RNA", at positions 330 to 792 of the family's 1533-position model. The record is from RNAcentral.